AGCCAAUGAUGUGAGAUAAUAUUUGCGACUCUUGAUGGGGUGUUUAUAGACCCUUCUGAUGAUUAUUUAUCCACCAAGAUCUCCGAGCCU
Molecule: small nucleolar RNA, 90 nt
Organism: Papaver somniferum (opium poppy)
Lineage: Eukaryota; Viridiplantae; Streptophyta; Magnoliopsida; Ranunculales; Papaveraceae
Product: small nucleolar RNA SNORD24
Exons: 1
Source: RefSeq, a predicted model, not a curated record